Long non-coding RNA from Mytilus californianus (California mussel), 673 nucleotides. RefSeq lists it as uncharacterized. Lineage: Eukaryota; Metazoa; Mollusca; Bivalvia; Mytilida; Mytilidae. The record is from RefSeq and is a predicted model, not a curated record. The transcript is spliced from 3 exons.
AUGCACAAUACAUGGAUGUCAGUGUUGUCGUUAUCAGGAAGGUACAAUGCACCAGUCUGUGUUGCUCUUGGUCAACAUUUUACAGAGAGAUCUGUUGUUAUGUUUAGAGCUGUCUUUGCAUGUGUCUUCAUCUCCUUAUGUUAUUUCAAGAUCGGCAUUUGGUAUUUGAUUUGGAUGUAUGGUAUAGGAGCAGGAAUUGGGAAUUCCUGUUUAGAUGGAAAUGGUGUAGUGAUGAUUGGCAGCUAUUUCAAAAGAAUUCGUACAGUUGCUAAUGGUAUUGCUUUGUCAGGAGCUAGUGUUGAAACAUUUGCUAUUCCUCCACUUAUAGAGUUCUUAUUGCAGACAUAUGCAUAUGGACUCCCAGGGACGUACCUUAUCUUGGGGGGUUUAUAUUUAUUUGUAGCUGUUAGUGGGGCCCUCUAUCGUCCACUGAAAUUUUACUCAAGUGAAAGAAAAGCAGGAGAAAACGAUGAAAAGCAUAAACUGCUAAAAGAAGAUCUGAACGAUUCUAUAAGAAAAAGAACAAAUGUUGUUCAGGACACAACAAAUCAAGUUAUUAGCAGAACAUGUGACACUUUAGAAAUCAAAAUUGAUUCAGAAGUGAAUCAAGAGAAAUCUGUCUCAUUUGUUACAAGCAAUGGUUCAAUGGAAAGUUUGGCACGUGUUGUACUAG